AGUGAACGCUGGCGGUAGGCCUAACACAUGCAAGUCGAACGGCAGCACAGUAAGAGCUUGCUCUUACGGGUGGCGAGUGGCGGACGGGUGAGGAAUACAUCGGAAUCUACUUUUUCGUGGGGGAUAACGUAGGGAAACUUACGCUAAUACCGCAUACGACCUACGGGUGAAAGCAGGGGAUCUUCGGACCUUGCGCGAUUGAAUGAGCCGAGGUCGGAUUAGCUAGUUGGCGGGGUAAAGGCCCACCAAGGCGACGAUCCGUAGCUGGUCUGAGAGGAUGAUCAGCCACACUGGAACUGAGACACGGUCCAGCCUCCUACGGGAGGCAGCAGUGGGGAAUAUUGGACAAUGGGCGCAAGCCUGAUCCAGCCAUACCGCGUGGGUGAAGAAGGCCUUCGGGUUGUAAAGCCCUUUUGUUGGGAAAGAAAAGCAGCAGGUUAAUACCCCGCUGUUCUGACGGUACCCAAAGAAUAAGCACCGGCUAACUUCGUG
RNAcentral lists this ribosomal RNA (492 nucleotides) under uncultured bacterium. RNAcentral describes it as "partial 16S ribosomal RNA". It matches the Rfam family "Bacterial small subunit ribosomal RNA", at positions 29 to 507 of the family's 1533-position model. The record is from RNAcentral.